UACGUAGGGGCCUAGCGUUGUCCGGAUUUAUUGGGCGUAAAGAGCUCGUAGGCGGCUUGGUAAGUCAGGUGUGAAAUCUCCACGCUCAACGUGGAGGGGCCACCCGAAACUGCCAUGGCUUGAGUCCGGUAGGGGAGUGUGGAAUUCCCGGUGUAGCGGUGAAAUGCGCAGAUAUCGGGAAGAACACCCGUGGCGAAGGCGGCAGCUCUGGGACGGUACUGACGGCUGAGACGCGAAAGCGUGGGGAGCGA
This 251-nucleotide ribosomal RNA is filed under the name uncultured bacterium. Its description in RNAcentral is "partial 16S ribosomal RNA". It matches the Rfam family "Bacterial small subunit ribosomal RNA", at positions 524 to 771 of the family's 1533-position model. The record is from RNAcentral.